GACGAACGCUGGCGGCGUGCUUAACACAUGCAAGUCGAACGAAGUGGCGAACGGGUGAGUAAUACGUGGGUAACCUGCCCUCCUUUUUGGGAUAAGCCUUGGAAACGGGGUCUAAUACCCAAUCAAGGGGGAUGGGCUCGCGGCCUAUCAGCUUGUUGGUGGGGUAGUGGCCUACCAAGGCGACGACGGGUAGCCGUCCUGAGAGGGCGACCGGCCACAUUGGGACUGAGAGACGGCCCAAACUCCUACGGGAGGCAGCAGUGGGGAAUAUUGAACAAUGGAGUGAACUCUGAUGCAGCGACGCCGCGUGAACGAAGAAGGCUUUCGAGUCGUAAAGUUCUUUCGGUACCAUAAGAAAAAGCCCCGGCUAACUACGUGCCAGCCGCCGCGGUAAUUC
Molecule: ribosomal RNA, 397 nt
Filed under: uncultured bacterium
Lineage: Bacteria
Description: partial 16S ribosomal RNA
Rfam family: Bacterial small subunit ribosomal RNA
Source: RNAcentral